AGUGAACGCUGGCGGUAGGCCUAACACAUGCAAGUCGAACGGCAGCACAGGAGAGCUUGCUCUCUAGGUGGCGAGUGGCGGACGGGUGAGGAAUACAUCGGAAUCUGCCCAGUCGUGGGGGAUAACGUAGGGAAACUUACGCUAAUACCGCAUACGACCUUCGGGUGAAAGAGGGGGAUCGCAAGACCUCUCGCGAUUGGAUGAGCCGAUGUCGGAUUAGCUGGUUAGCGGGGUAAUGGCCCACCAAGGCGACGAUCCGUAGCUGGUCUGAGAGUAUGAUCAGCCACACUGGAACUUGGACACGGUCCAGACUCCUACGGGAGGCAGCAGUGGGGAAUAUUGGACAAUGGGCGCGAGCCUGAUCCAGCCAUACCGCGUGGGUGAAGAAGGCCUUCGGGUUGUAAAGCCCUUUUGUUGGGAAAGAAAUCUUUCAGGCUAAUACCAUGGGAGAAUGACGGUACCCAAAGAAUAAGCACCGGCUAACUUCGUG
Molecule: ribosomal RNA, 490 nt
Filed under: uncultured bacterium
Lineage: Bacteria
Description: partial 16S ribosomal RNA
Rfam family: Bacterial small subunit ribosomal RNA
Source: RNAcentral